This 253-nucleotide non-coding RNA is filed under the name Yersinia enterocolitica. Lineage: Bacteria; Pseudomonadati; Pseudomonadota; Gammaproteobacteria; Enterobacterales; Yersiniaceae. The record is from RNAcentral.
CUUGCCUUUUUGUUUCCCAGCUAACCAGCCAACUUCCAAGCCUAAAGGCCCCAGCCACUGGCGGAAAGUAUUCGCAUGCUGUUCAGCCAGUAAUUCAGUCGGCGCCAUCAAUGCAACCUGCUUACCGUGCGCAAUAGCGCGCAGUGCAGCCAGUGCCGCAACCAGAGUUUUGCCAGAACCCACAUCCCCUUGAAUCAGCCGCAUCAUAGGGAAGUUAUGCGUCAUAUCUUGUUCGAUUUCCGCCACGACCCGC